UCCUACGGGAGGCAGCAGUGGGGAAUCUUAGACAAUGGGCGCAAGCCUGAUCUAGCCAUGCCGCGUGAGUGAUGAAGGUCUUAGGAUCGUAAAGCUCUUUCGCUGGGGAAGAUAAUGACUGUACCCAGUAAAGAAGUCCCGGCUAACUCCGUGCCAGCAGCCGCGGUAAUACGGAGGGGACUAGCGUUGUUCGGAAUUACUGGGCGUAAAGCGUGCGUAGGCGGAUCAGCAAGUUGGGGGUGAAAUCCCGGGGCUCAACCCCGGAACUGCCUCCAAAACUGUUGGUCUAGAGUUCGAGAGAGGUGAGUGGAAUUCCGAGUGUAGAGGUGAAAUUCGUAGAUAUUCGGAGGAACAUCAGUGGCGAAGGCGGCUCACUGGCUCGAUACUGACGCUGAGGUACGAAAGUGUGGGGAGCAAACAGGAUUAGAUACCCUGGUAGUCCACACCGUAAACGAUGAAUGCCAGUCGUCGGGCAGUAUACUGUUCGGUGACACACCUAACGGAUUAAGCAUUCCGCCUGGGGAGUACGG
This 530-nucleotide ribosomal RNA is filed under the name uncultured Alphaproteobacteria bacterium. RNAcentral's name for it is "bacterial SSU rRNA". It matches the Rfam family "Bacterial small subunit ribosomal RNA", at positions 337 to 885 of the family's 1533-position model. Lineage: Bacteria; Pseudomonadati; Pseudomonadota; Alphaproteobacteria. The record is from RNAcentral.